Corvus hawaiiensis (hawaiian crow) is the source of this 608-nucleotide long non-coding RNA. RefSeq lists it as uncharacterized. NCBI's taxonomy places the organism in Eukaryota, Metazoa, Chordata, Aves, Passeriformes, Corvidae. The record is from RefSeq and is a predicted model, not a curated record. The transcript is spliced from 6 exons.
GCAGGACGGAUGUGCCGGUGCCCCUCUUUACUCGAUCCUGAGAGUUACAGCCGUGUCCGUCUCGAUCUGGGCAGCAAGAGACAGACAUGAACAUGACCCAUGGAAUCACUGCCUACUGGAGCAAACAAACUCCAGCUCCAGUAGGAGCUCUAAUUUGUUGUGAUUAGGCCAGAUCUGGGUGAUCAGAAGCUGACAAAAUUACAUUUGAAUGCUGCUUUGUUACAGUGAGAUAUUACAGGCUUAAUCCUGCUCAGUGAUGGCCUGAACUGUAACUUGAAUUUUUGCCUCAAAAGUGUUUCCAAAAUUUUUCUGGGAACAGGUUGAUCAUAAUACUGACUUGUGGUUGGAAAUUGCCUGCCAUAUCCAGAAAACAAAUAAGACAAAUAUUUUCCAUUGGAAACAAGGACAUGGUUUCCCAGUUGGCUCCUGUUACUACUAUUAAGUCACUACCCCUUUUUGGAACUCUGAAAGUGCACAUAACCCUUUGAAAUAAGCUUAAGUGAGAGAAGUCUUGUGUUCAUUUUGACAGAAAAGUAUUUCUGUAAAUCAUCUAGAACAGAAUUUUCUUAGCAAGUCCUAAGGCCUCCAGCUUCUCUGAUUAUUAAAGG